Molecule: long non-coding RNA, 219 nt
Filed under: Rosa chinensis
Lineage: Eukaryota; Viridiplantae; Streptophyta; Magnoliopsida; Rosales; Rosaceae
Description: sRNA RchiOBHm_Chr6g0274211
Source: RNAcentral
GGGUUUGAAUCGAAUUUGAUUACAUGGAAUUGGUUUUGAUCUUUGUUCCUUGUGUGUACCCUCAAUCCCCGGAAUAGAACGAUCCCUAUUUGCUUAUACUACUAACGAUAAUUUCAGGGUUAAAUUAUACGCUUACUUUUAGUGUAUCAACAACCCCCUCUUGCCUUUCAACCUUCCAGCCAAAAUGAUGAGCGUAGUUACAUGGGUAACGCUUGCCCU